GCCCAGAUGGCGGAAUUGGUAGACGCGCCAGGUUCAGGUCCUAGUUCUCGCAAGGGUGUGUGGGUUCGAGUCCCGUUCUGGGCA
RNAcentral lists this transfer RNA (84 nucleotides) under Spirochaetales bacterium. RNAcentral's name for it is "tRNA-Leu". It matches the Rfam family "tRNA". From Rfam's summary of the family: Transfer RNA (tRNA) molecules are approximately 80 nucleotides in length. Lineage: Bacteria; Pseudomonadati; Spirochaetota; Spirochaetia; Spirochaetales. The record is from RNAcentral.